This 468-nucleotide ribosomal RNA is filed under the name uncultured bacterium. RNAcentral's name for it is "partial 16S ribosomal RNA". It matches the Rfam family "Bacterial small subunit ribosomal RNA", at positions 28 to 507 of the family's 1533-position model. The record is from RNAcentral.
GACGAACGCUGGCGGCGUGCUUAACACAUGCAAGUCGAACGGAAAGGCACUGCUUGCGUGGGGUGCUCGAGUGGCGAACGGGUGAGUAACACGUGAGUAACCUGCUCUUGACUUUGGGAUAACUUCAGGAAACUGGGGCUAAUACAGGAUAGGAGCUCCUGUUGCAUGGUGGGGGUUGGAAAUUCUCGGCGGUUGGGGAUGGACUCGCGGCUUAUCAGCUUGUUGGUGGGGUAGUGGCUUACCAAGGCUGUGGCGGGUAGCCGGCCUGGGAGGGUGACCGGCCACAUUGGGACUGAGAUACGGCCCAGACUCCUACGGGAGGCAGCAGUGGGGAAUAUUGCACAAUGGGCGGAAGCCUGAUGCAGCGACGCCGCGUGCGGGAUGACGGCCUUCGGGUUGUAAACCGCUUUCGCCUGUGACGAAGCGUGAGUGACGGUACUGGGUAAAGAAGCACCGGCUAACUACGUG